Molecule: ribosomal RNA, 1308 nt
Filed under: metagenome
Description: bacterial SSU rRNA
Rfam family: Bacterial small subunit ribosomal RNA
Source: RNAcentral
CAUGGCGCGAUGAUCAAAGGUGGGGACCUUCGGGCCUGCCGCUUGGGGAGGUGCCCGCGUGCCAUCAGCUUGUUGGUGAGGUAAUGGCUCACCAAGGCUUACGGCUAGCUGGUCUGAGAGGAUGAUCAGCCACACUGGGACUGAGACACUGCCCAGACUCCUACGGGAGGCUGCAGUCGAGGAUCAUUCGCAAUGCGCGAAAGCGUGACGAUGCGACGCUGCGUGGAGGAUGAAGGCCUUCGGGUUGUAAACUCCUGUCAUGAGGGACAAGUCGGCCGGGGAUUAAUACCUCCCGGCCUCGAUGGUACUUCAAGAGGAAGCCACGGCUAACUCUGUGCCAGCAGCCGCGGUAAUACAGAGGUGGCAAGCGUUGUUCGCAUUUACUGGGCGUAAAGCGUACGUAGGCGGUUUGGUAUGUCGGAUGUGAAAGCCCGGGGCUCAACCCCGGAAGUGCAUCCGAAACUGCCAGACUUGAGUGCAGGAUGGGAGAGCGGAAUUCAUGGUGUAGCGGUGAAAUGCGUUGAUAUCAUGAAGAACACCGGUGGCGAAGGCGGCUCUCUGGAAUGCAACUGACGCUGAGGUACGAAAGCGUGGGUAGCAAACAGGAUUAGAUACCCUGGUAGUCCACGCCGUAAACGGUGCGCACUUGGUGUGGGGAGUUUUGACCCUCUCCGUGCCGUAGCUAACGCGUUAAGUGCGCCGCCUGGGGAGUACGGCCGCAAGGCUAAAACUCAAAGAAAUUGACGGGGGCCCGCACAAGCGGAGGAGCAUGUGGCUUAAUUCGAUGCAACGCGAAGAACCUUACCUGGGUUUGACAUGUAGCUGCUUCCCCCUUGAAAGAGGGGGGUCCUUUGAGGGUGCUACACAGGUGCUGCAUGGCUGUCGUCAGUUCGUGCCGUGAGGUGUUUGGUUAAGUCCAGCAACGAACGCAACCCCUGUGUCCAGUUGCCAGCGGAUAACGCCGGGGACUCUGGACAGACUGCCCGUACAAGCGGGAGGAAGGUGGGGACGACGUCAAGUCAGUAUGGCCCUUACGCCCAGGGCUGCACACGUGCUACAAUGGUCGGUACAAUGGGACGCAAAGCCGCGAGGUGGAGCAAAUCCCCAAAACCGGCCUCAGUUCGGAUUGCAGUCUGCAACUCGACUGCAUGAAGUUGGAUUCGCUAGUAACGGCGCAUCAGCUACGGCGCCGUGAAUACGUUCCCUGGCCUUGUACACACCGCCCGUCACAUCAUGAAAGCCGUCUGCACCCGAAGUCACUGAGCCAACCCGCAAGGGGGGCAGGUGCCGAAGGUGUGGGUGGUGAUU